GAUGAACGCUGGCGGCGUGCUUAACACAUGCAAGUCGAACGGAAGUUUUAAAAGGAAGUUUUCGGAUGGAAUUUUAAAACUUUAGUGGCGGACGGGUGAGUAACGCGUGGGUAACCUGCCGUAUACAGGGGGAUAACACUUAGAAAUAGGUGCUAAUACCGCAUAAGCGCACAGCAUCGCAUGAUGCAGUGUGAAAAGCUCCGACGGUAUACGAUGGACCCGCGUCUGAUUAGCUAGUUGGUGAGGUAGAGGCUCACCAAGGCGACGAUCAGUAGCCGGCCUGAGAGGGUGACCGGCCACAUUGGGACUGAGACACGGCCCAAACUCCUACGGGAGGCAGCAGUGGGGAAUAUUGCACAAUGGGGGGAAACCCUGAUGCAGCGACGCCGCGUGAGUGAAGAAGUAUUUCGGUAUGUAAAGCUCUAUCAGCAGGGAGAAAAUGACGGUACCUGACUAAGAAGCCCCGGCUAACUACGUG
RNAcentral lists this ribosomal RNA (478 nucleotides) under uncultured bacterium. RNAcentral's name for it is "bacterial SSU rRNA". It matches the Rfam family "Bacterial small subunit ribosomal RNA", at positions 28 to 507 of the family's 1533-position model. The record is from RNAcentral.